Molecule: ribosomal RNA, 212 nt
Filed under: uncultured bacterium
Lineage: Bacteria
Description: partial 16S ribosomal RNA
Rfam family: Bacterial small subunit ribosomal RNA
Source: RNAcentral
UACGUAGGGUGCAAGCGUUGUCCGGAAUUAUUGGGCGUAAAGAGCUCGUAGGCGGUCUGUUGCGUCGGCUGUGAAAACCCGAGGCUCAACCUCGGGCCUGCAGCCGAUACGGGCAGACUAGAGUUCGGCAGGGGAGACUGGAAUUCCUGGUGUAGCGGUGAAAUGCGCAGAUAUCAGGAGGGAACACCGGUGGCGAAGGCGGGUCUCUGGGC